This 253-nucleotide ribosomal RNA is filed under the name uncultured bacterium. Its description in RNAcentral is "partial 16S ribosomal RNA". It matches the Rfam family "Bacterial small subunit ribosomal RNA", at positions 524 to 776 of the family's 1533-position model. The record is from RNAcentral.
UACGGAGGAUCCAAGCGUUAUCCGGAUUUAUUGGGUUUAAAGGGUGCGUAGGCGGAUUGAUAAGUUAGAGGUGAAAUGUCCGAGCUUAACUCGGGAACUGCCUCUAAUACUGUUGAUCUAGAGAGUAGAUGCGGUAGGCGGAAUGUAUGGUGCAGCGGUGAAAUGCUUAGAGAUCAUACAGAACACCGAUUGCGAAGGCAGCUUACCAAUCUAUAUCUGACGUUGAGGCACGAAAGCGUGGGGAGCAAACAGG